GAUUCAUUCUCCGCCAAUCCCUGGAGGACAAGUAGCAGGGGUGAUAGUGGGGUGAUAGUGGGGUGAUAGUGGGGUGAUUCGUGCUCUGCCAAUCCCUGAAAGGCAAUUAGCAUAGCCCCAGCCUGUUGUGCCGCUCGAGGUCCCCGUAUCAGUAAAGAGGUGAUCCUGCAAUAAAGGCUGUUGAGAAGAAUCCAACCGUGUUGCGUCUUCCUUGCCGGACGAGCCUGCUGCGGAUGGGUCCCUCCUCCUGCAAAAACAGAAAUGUAGAUAUUACGGUCACCACGGUUGUUCCAUCACCAUGAAGAGGUGACAUCAUAACGUGCAAUACAUCUGACCACAGCUUGAACAUUCCACAGGACGAGAAGAGCAUCGCAACCAGUUCCAAUUGUGAGCGGCCUCCGCAUUUCCAGACUUAAUGCCGUAGGUGCAGAGAAUCUUCCUGACUUGAAAACUGAGACACCCUCAUUCCGUCAGAGCCUCAAGAGCCAGUGUCCACAUCCUGAGCCUUCCUACCUCUGUGGCCCAAUUCUUGAAGCUUCCUUCUUUGGCAACCAUUUCUGGUGGGACAGCUUUUCGGAUCUGGUCACAGCAUCCGUACCGCUCACUGGAUAGUAUGCUUGCUUUUCCCCUUGAAUAAAACAGCCGAUCUGA
Non-coding RNA from Rattus norvegicus (Norway rat), 651 nucleotides. NCBI's taxonomy places the organism in Eukaryota, Metazoa, Chordata, Mammalia, Rodentia, Muridae. The record is from RefSeq and is a predicted model, not a curated record.